RNAcentral lists this ribosomal RNA (305 nucleotides) under uncultured bacterium. Its description in RNAcentral is "bacterial SSU rRNA". It matches the Rfam family "Bacterial small subunit ribosomal RNA", at positions 338 to 660 of the family's 1533-position model. The record is from RNAcentral.
CCUACGGGAGGCAGCAGUGGGGAAUAUUGCACAAUGGGGGAAACCCUGAUGCAGCGACGCCGCGUGAAGGAAGAAGUAUCUCGGUAUGUAAACUUCUAUCAGCAGGGAAGAAAACAGACGGUACCUGACUAAGAAGCCCCGGCUAACUACGUGCCAGCAGCCGCGGUAAUACGUAGGUGGCGAGCGUUAUCCGGAUUUAUUGGGCGUAAAGCGUCCGCAGCCGGUUUAUUAAGUAUAGAAUAAAACUUCGGGGCUCAACCCCGUCUCGUUCUAAAAACUGAUAGACUAGAGUGUGGUAGAGGCAA